This 72-nucleotide transfer RNA is filed under the name Deltaproteobacteria bacterium. Its description in RNAcentral is "tRNA-Cys". It matches the Rfam family "tRNA". Rfam says of the family: Transfer RNA (tRNA) molecules are approximately 80 nucleotides in length. The record is from RNAcentral. Lineage: Bacteria; Pseudomonadati; Myxococcota; Myxococcia.
GGCACGGUGGCCAAGUGGUAAGGCGGAAGUCUGCAAAACUUCUAUCCGCGGGUUCGAUUCCCGCCCGUGCCU